RNAcentral lists this ribosomal RNA (301 nucleotides) under uncultured bacterium. Its description in RNAcentral is "partial 16S ribosomal RNA". It matches the Rfam family "Bacterial small subunit ribosomal RNA", at positions 509 to 807 of the family's 1533-position model. The record is from RNAcentral.
CAGUCGCCGCGGUAAUACCGGGGAUGCAAGCGUUAUCCGGAAUGAUUGGGCGUAAAGGGCUCGCAGGCGGUUUCUUAAGUCUGAUGUGAAGGCCCCCGGCUCAACCGGGGAGGGUCAUUGGAAACUGGGAAACUUGAGUGCAGAAGAGGAGAGUGGAAUUCCACGUGUAGCGGUGAAAUGCGUAGAGAUGUGGAGGAACACCAGUGGCGAAGGCGACUCUCUGGUCUGUAACUGACGCUGAGGAGCGAAAGCGUGGGGAGCGAACAGGAUUAGAGACCCCAGUAGUCCCUGUCUCUUAUAC